CAGCCGCCACGGUAAUACGAAGGGUGCAAGCGUUACUCGGAAUUACUGGGCGUAAAACGUGCGUAGGUGGUGGUUUAAGUCCGUUGUGAAAGCCCUGGGCUCAACCUGGGAAUUGCAGUGGAUACUGGGUCACUAGAGUGUGGUGGAGGAUAGUGGAAUUUCCGGUGUAGCAGUGAAAUGCGUAGAGAUCGGAAGGAACAUCUGUGGCGAAGGCGACUAUCUGGGCCAACACUGACACUGAGGCACGAAAGCGUGGGGAGCAAACAGGAUUAGAUACCCCCGUAGUCCCUGUCUCUUAUAC
RNAcentral lists this ribosomal RNA (301 nucleotides) under uncultured bacterium. RNAcentral describes it as "partial 16S ribosomal RNA". It matches the Rfam family "Bacterial small subunit ribosomal RNA", at positions 509 to 807 of the family's 1533-position model. The record is from RNAcentral.